This 995-nucleotide long non-coding RNA is filed under the name Triticum aestivum (bread wheat). RNAcentral describes it as "long non-coding RNA (TAES_LNC018432)". The record is from RNAcentral. Lineage: Eukaryota; Viridiplantae; Streptophyta; Magnoliopsida; Poales; Poaceae.
GAUGAAGCAAGAGAAGACCUGAUGGUAGGCAACACCACUUUGUUGACGAGUGAUUAUACCAAUCCAGCCAUCUUUUCAUUGAGUUUACUGUCAGAAAAUGCAUACAUCUCUGCAGUUAUUUUACAGAUAAAGCAAUUCAUCAUGAUCUGUACAGUUCAUGUCUACACUCUGAGUAGACAUGAUCUGCAGAGGCAUUUGGUUGAGUUGGUGACAGUCUGGCAGGUACACAUGAUCUGCACAGGCAUUUGGUUGACCCUGCAAUCUAACCAUUUCUUACUGUUGUUGCCGUGUUGGUGUUUGUGCUGAAAGGAUCGUGAAGCGUCCGUGCCUGCGGUACAGGUCUCACAUGGGCCGCAAUUUAUCGAGGUCCGUACCUCUAUGAUGCUCUCGGAUUAAUGGCCGCCAUUUGUCUAUGCGCAACCAGAUGAGCAUACCUAGGGUCCAGAGAUGGCAUCGAUUCUGUGCUGCUGAUCGAGAUUUGAAUCAAUACUAAUUUUUAAAGGCUCUGUGUCUGGCUUUGUGGAUCCUAUGUAGGUAGUGAGUGGUGUCUGAGGUAAUUGUGUCCAUGGAAUAAUCUUGACCUGAAAUAUCGUUUGGAUGGAGCACUGUGCAAUACAUACAUUUGUGCCAGAGGAAGAUGGAAAUGUAAAUUUUCUUUUUAAUGCACCAUUUGGAACCUAGGAAAUUUUCCUGGAAAGUUCCUUUUUUUACCCUAGACACUGGUUUAUUUGAAAUCCUGCAUUUCAAACUUGAGUUUGUUCGAUUUGCAUAUGGGGGACCCUCUGAUAUUUCAGACCCUGGUUUGGAUGCUCCAAAUGAUAAAUGUUUUUGGACAAUGGUAUUUACAGGUGCCAAACCAGCAAGUUCCAUUGUGCUCGGUGCCAAGACUGUUAGCUGUGUCUGGCUGAUGGGUGAUGUGGCGGACUCCAGGCUCAUUUUAUUUUGAGCAGUGGUAACAUGGUUCAAAAUGUGUUUGCAUCUGAAAGAUAUGUUAG